AAGUGUCUUCCAUACUGUGAUGGGAAGAAGAGCAUCAACCCUAAAAGCAAAGGAACAAACGGCUCCGGUGUCUGCUGUUAUUGCAGAAGCAGGUCCUGUUGACAUCGGGGAAAGAUCUGAAGACUGCAGCAGGACAUGACCACAGCUUUCCCAAAAGCUCUCAUCUACUUCGAGUCCAAGCUGGAUUCUGGAUGCUGCGAGGCUGUCGUCUCAGGAUGCUGCAAGAGAGGUUGUUGCAUCUUCUUACCUUAGAGU
Long non-coding RNA from Calypte anna (Anna's hummingbird), 255 nucleotides. RefSeq lists it as uncharacterized. The transcript is spliced from 3 exons. The record is from RefSeq and is a predicted model, not a curated record. NCBI's taxonomy places the organism in Eukaryota, Metazoa, Chordata, Aves, Apodiformes, Trochilidae.